This 68-nucleotide transfer RNA is filed under the name Nesophrosyne sp. 21 GMB-2012. RNAcentral describes it as "tRNA-Phe". The record is from RNAcentral. Lineage: Eukaryota; Metazoa; Arthropoda; Insecta; Hemiptera; Cicadellidae.
GUUUAUAUAGCUUAUAAAAUAGGAGCACGUCAGUGAAGAUGAUGGGGAAACUUUAAUGUUUAUAGAUA